AUACUUACCUGGUAGGAGAGAUACCAUGAUCACGAAGGUGGUUUUUUUCUCAGGGUGAGGUUUAUCCAUUGCAUUCCAGAUGUACUGAUCCCUGCGAUUUCCUCAAAUGUGGGAAACUCGACUGCAUAAUUUGUGGUAGUGGGGGACUGUAUUCGCGCUUUCCCCUG
This is a small nuclear RNA of Pongo abelii (Sumatran orangutan), 167 nucleotides long. Its record names the gene U1. It matches the Rfam family "U1 spliceosomal RNA". Rfam says of the family: U1 is a small nuclear RNA (snRNA) component of the spliceosome (involved in pre-mRNA splicing). The record is from Ensembl. Lineage: Eukaryota; Metazoa; Chordata; Mammalia; Primates; Hominidae.